GACGAACGCUGGCGGCGUGCCUAAUACAUGCAAGUCGAGCGGACAGAUGGGAGCUUGCUCCCUGAUGUUAGCGGCGGACGGGUGAGUAACACGUGGGUAACCUGCCUGUAAGACUGGGAUAACUCCGGGAAACCGGGGCUAAUACCGGAUGCUUGUUUGAACCGCAUGGUUCAGACAUAAAAGGUGGCUUCGGCUACCACUUACAGAUGGACCCGCGGCGCAUUAGCUAGUUGGUGAGGUAACGGCUCACCAAGGCGACGAUGCGUAGCCGACCUGAGAGGGUGAUCGGCCACACUGGGACUGAGACACGGCCCAGACUCCUACGGGAGGCAGCAGUAGGGAAUCUUCCGCAAUGGACGAAAGUCUGACGGAGCAACGCCGCGUGAGUGAUGAAGGUUUUCGGAUCCUAAAGCUCUGUUGUUAGGGAAGAACAAGUGCCGUUCAAUUAGGGCGGCACCUUGACGGUACCUAACCAGAAAGCCACGGCUAACUACGUGCCAGCAGCCGCGGUAAUACGUAGGUGGCAAGCGUUGUCCGGAAUUAUUGGGCGUAAAGGGCUCGCAGGCGGUUUCUUAAGUCUGAUGUGAAAGCCCCCGGCUCAACCGGGGAGGGUCAUUGGAAACUGGGGAACUUGAGUGCAGAAGAGGAGAGUGGAAUUCCCCGUGUAGCGGUGAAAUGCGUAGAGAUGUGGAGGAACACCAGUGGCGAAGGCGACUCUCUGGUCUGUAACUGACGCUGAGGAGCGAAAGCGUGGGGAGCGAACAGGAUUAGAUACCCUGGUAGUCCACGCCGUAAACGAUGAGUGCUAAGUGUUAGGGGGUUUCCGCCCCUUAGUGCUGCAGCUAACGCAUUAAGCACUCCGCCUGGGGAGUACGGUCGCAAGACUGAAACUCAAAGGAAUUGACGGGGG
RNAcentral lists this ribosomal RNA (910 nucleotides) under Bacillus amyloliquefaciens. Its description in RNAcentral is "bacterial SSU rRNA". It matches the Rfam family "Bacterial small subunit ribosomal RNA", at positions 28 to 919 of the family's 1533-position model. The record is from RNAcentral. Lineage: Bacteria; Bacillati; Bacillota; Bacilli; Caryophanales; Bacillaceae.